Oryctolagus cuniculus (rabbit) is the source of this 1272-nucleotide non-coding RNA. The record is from RefSeq and is a predicted model, not a curated record. Lineage: Eukaryota; Metazoa; Chordata; Mammalia; Lagomorpha; Leporidae.
CAUCAUGGGAAUUCAUCAAGGAAAAAGAGAUCACAGCUAUUGGGUGAGGGACCAAGAGUGGUUACCCUGGGUCGCGAAUAAUGGACCCUAACUACCCAGCAGCCCAUGAACGGAGCGCUUCCCGUGUGUCGCCGCAUUCAAUCUUCGGUCACCAAUGAGAUAGAUUCUACUCUGCACCCACGCUGUUAACCAUAGCGUGCGGAUGGGCUGUGUCCUGCAGGCAGUGGGGAGCCAGAGACGGUUUGAGCGGGAGGGUGAGUCUGUUGGAGCCACUUCUCGGAUGGAACACCGCCGUGUGCAAGGCCACGAAGUUCCUCUCCGCUCCUCACACCCUUCUCCUUUGUGCCAGGUCACUGCCUGUGUUCUGGUUUCCAGGAGACAGGCAGGGCUGCUGCGGGAGGGCUGCUCCGAAAACCCCCAUGCAGACGAGGAGCAGACAUCACCACUGCUCCGAGAAACGGAGCCUGUGCACCCACUGCUGCAGAAGACGGCGCUGAGCGUGGUUUGAGCUCCUGGUCUUGGACGCGGUUUGAGAUGACUUUUGGAGAUGGAGUGAAGUGCCGGUCUACCUUCCCUCUUUCACGCAGGCAUGUCUGCUGGUCCCAGCGUCAUCUGUGGAAAAGAUUAUUCCUCCCUCCCUGAUUGGCCCUGGCACUCGUGUUGAAAACCAAUCGGCCACAAAUGCAAGGAUUUAUUUCUGCACUUGCAGUCCUAGUCCUUUGGCCUGUGUGUCCACCCCACGCCAAUGCUGCACUGUCCGCGUACCUGCAGAAUCCUAACACCUUUCGAAAUUGGGAAGUGUCACUUCAACUUUACUUUUUCAAGACAGUUUGGCCAUGCUGGGUCCCUUGUACUUCUUGAAUGAUCAAUUUCUGCAAAAUGCAACUGGGCUUUUGAGUCUUUUGUCAAUUUGGGUCACACAAGAGGUCUUAAUAAGCCAAUGGAAAAUGUGUGUUAUGAAAAAGCCAUGCGCUGGUUUCAAAAUUUUUUUGGACCAAAAUAUAAGGGUACUUCAAAAAGUCGUGGACAAUGGGAUUGAAAAAAGAUUUAUUUAGGUGCGGAAGUAUUUUGAAAUCCAUGCAGAGUUUUUCAUAUUCCACAUUUUCCACAAACUUCUUGAAGAAGUCUGUGUUGCCUUUUUCACAAUAGUGUGUCUCCCAGGCUAUAAUCAUGGAAUAUCUUACAAUUUACUUAGACCUUCUUUCAUGUCAAUGAUGUUUUGUAGCUUAAAAAAAUAAACUUUACUAACAACAAUACAAAUGCGUCGGCUGC